AUGUCAUCUUCGGGCUAUGUCGCUGUUCCUCGAUGCUCAGUGAUCUUUGAUGGCACCAACUACGCUGAGUUUGCGGGCUUCAUGCGUAUCCAUAUGCGCGGUCUUCUUCUAUGGGGUGUUCUCUCUGGCGAGGUCCCCUGUCCGCCAUGCCCCGUUGCUCCCGUGGCUCCUAUCCCGCCGGUGCCGCCAGUCCUUGCUGCUGAUGCUUCUCAGGCUGAUCGUGAUGAAGCCAAAGCUCUUGAUGAUGUUGCAGUUGAUGCUUAUGAUCAACAGAUAUCUGCUUAUUCAGAUGCUCUUUCUGUGUACCGCGAUGAUCUGUCUGCUUACACUCAGUGGUGCAAUGAUGAUGCUCGUGCUGCUGUUGUUCUCACCGCGAGUGUUCUCCCUCAGUUUGCUUCAGAGUUCAUGGGACUUGGCACAGUUGCAGCGAUGUGGUCUUAUCUCUAUCAGCGCUACCAGCCCUCUGGUGAUGCUCUCUACCUAUCUGUGGUGCGUCAGGAGCACGCACUCCAGCAAGGUGAUUCCUCUGUUGAUGAGUUCUAUUCACAGUGCUCUGCCAUCUGGCGUCAGCUUGACUCUCUUCGGACAGUCGUUUGUGGAACUUGCCGUUGCUGUCAGACUACUCGGUCCGAUUUGGAUUUUCAGCGGGUUCAUGAGUUCCUAUCUCGUCUUCGCUCUGAGUUCGAGCCUCGACGUGCUCACCUGCUUGCUCGUGGUCGGGUUCCUAUCUCGGAGGUGCUUGUUGAGCUUCGUGCUGAGGAGACCCGCCUUCGCUCUGCUGGGUUACUUGUGGUUCCAUCAGUUUUGGCCGCCUGA
This 816-nucleotide ribosomal RNA is filed under the name Triticum aestivum (bread wheat). RNAcentral's name for it is "partial small subunit ribosomal RNA". Lineage: Eukaryota; Viridiplantae; Streptophyta; Magnoliopsida; Poales; Poaceae. The record is from RNAcentral.